GACGAACGCUGGCGGCGUGCUUAACACAUGCAAGUCGAGCGGUAAGGCCCUUUCGGGGGUACACGAGCGGCGAACGGGUGAGUAACACGUGGGUGACCUGCCCUCAGCUCUGGGAUAAGCCCGGGAACUGGGUCUAAUACUGGAUAUGACUCCACGGUGCAUGCCGUGGGGUGGAAAGCCUUGUGCGGCUGAGGAUGGGCCCGCGGCCUAUCAGCUUGUUGGUGGGGUGAUGGCCUACCAAGGCGACGACGGGUAGCCGGCCUGAGAGGGCGACCGGCCACACUGGGACUGAGACACGGCCCAGACUCCUACGGGAGGCAGCAGUGGGGAAUCUUGCGCAA
Molecule: ribosomal RNA, 341 nt
Filed under: uncultured bacterium
Lineage: Bacteria
Description: bacterial SSU rRNA
Rfam family: Bacterial small subunit ribosomal RNA
Source: RNAcentral